RNAcentral lists this ribosomal RNA (497 nucleotides) under uncultured bacterium. RNAcentral describes it as "partial 16S ribosomal RNA". It matches the Rfam family "Bacterial small subunit ribosomal RNA", at positions 28 to 507 of the family's 1533-position model. The record is from RNAcentral.
GAUGAACGCUGGCGGCGUGCCUAAUACAUGCAAGUCGAGCGAACAGACGAGGAGCUUGCUCCUCUGACGUUAGCGGCGGACGGGUGAGUAACACGUGGAUAACCUACCUAUAAGACUGGGAUAACUUCGGGAAACCGGAGCUAAUACCGGAUAAUAUAUUGAACCGCAUGGUUCAAUAGUGAAAGACGGUUUUGCUGUCACUUAUAGAUGGAUCCGCGCCGCAUUAGCUAGUUGGUAAGGUAACGGCUUACCAAGGCAACGAUGCGUAGCCGAACUGAGAGGGUGAUCGGCCACACUGGAACUGAGACACGGUCCAGACUCCUACGGGGGGCAGCAGUAGGGAAUCUUCCGCAAUGGGCGAAAGCCUGACGGAGCAACGCCGCGUGAGUGAUGAAGGUCUUCGGAUCGUAAAACUCUGUUAUUAGGGAAGAACAAAUGUGUAAGUAACUAUGCACGUCUUGACGGUACCUAAUCAGAAAGCCACGGCUAACUACGUG